Molecule: ribosomal RNA, 253 nt
Filed under: uncultured bacterium
Lineage: Bacteria
Description: partial 16S ribosomal RNA
Rfam family: Bacterial small subunit ribosomal RNA
Source: RNAcentral
UACGAAGGGUGCAAGCGUUACUCGGAAUUACUGGGCGUAAAGCGCGCGUAGGCGGCUUUGCAAGUCGGGCGUGAAAUCCCCAGGCUUAACCUGGGAACUGCAUUCGAGACUGCAUUGCUAGAGUAUGGGAGAGGGAAGUGGAAUUUCCGGUGUAGCGGUGAAAUGCGUAGAUAUCGGAAGGAACAUCAGUGGCGAAAGCGACUUCCUGGACCAAUACUGACGCUCAUGUGCGAAAGCGUGGGGAGCAAACAGG